UGGUUUUUGGAAUGAAGAACAAUUUAAAUCCCUUAACGAGGAUCAAUUGGAGGGCAAGUCUGGNGCCAGCAGCCGCGGUAAUUCCAGCUCCAAUAGCGUAUAUUAAAGUUGUUGCAGUUAAAAAGCUCGUAGUUGGAUUUUGGACAUCGUCUGCCGGUCCGCCUUAACGGUGAGUACUGUCGGGUGGAGUCUUCCGGCUGAAGGCUAUCUGUGCUCUUCAUUGGGUGUAGGUAGAAUUCAGCCCAUUUACUUUGAAAAAAUUAGAGUGUUCAAAGCAGGCCUUUGGCUUGAAUACAUUAGCAUGGAAUAACAGAAUAGGACUUUGGUUCUAUUUUGUUGGUUUCUAGGACCGAAGUAAUGAUUAAUAGGGACAGUUGGGGGUAUUCGUAUUUCGUUGUCAGAGGUGAAAUUCUUGGAUUUCCGAAAGACGAACUACCGCGAAAGCAUUUACCAAGGAUGUUUUCAUUAAUCAAGAACGAAAGUUAGGGGAUCGAAGAUGAUUAGAUACCAUCGUAGUCUUAACCAUAAACUAUGCCGACU
Molecule: ribosomal RNA, 540 nt
Filed under: uncultured Cryptophyta
Lineage: Eukaryota; Cryptophyceae
Description: bacterial SSU rRNA
Rfam family: Eukaryotic small subunit ribosomal RNA
Source: RNAcentral